Molecule: ribosomal RNA, 1254 nt
Filed under: Amanita xerocybe
Lineage: Eukaryota; Fungi; Basidiomycota; Agaricomycetes; Agaricales; Amanitaceae
Description: eukaryotic LSU rRNA
Rfam family: Eukaryotic large subunit ribosomal RNA (bases 625-1254)
Source: RNAcentral
CAUUAUUGAAAGAAACUUUCAGGUAAAAAGAAGAGAAGGCAGUUGUAGCUGGUUUCUUUAAUUUGAGGGAAUAUGUGCACACUGUUGUUUUUUCUUUUACUUGUUUCUUCAUUUUCUUCUCCACUUGUGCACUGUUUGUAGACAGCUUGGUUACAGGCUGUCUAUGAUUUUACACACACUAUAAAAGCACUUUGUUGUUACAGAAUGAGAUUUUUUUUAAAAAAAAAUACAACUUUCAACAACGGAUCUCUUGGCUCUUGCAUCGAUGAAGAACGCAGCGAAAUGCGAUAAGUAAUGUGAAUUGCAGAAUUCAGUGAAUCAUCGAAUCUUUGAACGCAUCUUGCGCUCCUUGGUAUUCUGAGGAGCAUGCCUGUUUGAGUGUCAUUUAAAUCUUUGUCAAAACAUCUUCUUGUGUUUUGGAUUGUGGGAGUGUUUGCUGGUUUUCUCCAUGGCCAGCUCUCCUGAAAGACAAUUUUUGAGAGGAUGUGUUUGUGCCACUUCUGUCUUUCUAUUGGUGUGAUAGAUUUGUCUAUGCCAGGAAAGCAGACUGCAAGUGGCAAAUUGAGCACUGCAAUCUUUUUUUUCUCUGUUAUCUUUUGAGAAAGAUGACUUUGUCUGAUAACUUGACCUCAAAUCAGGUAGGACUACCCACUGAACUUAAGCAUAUCAAUAAGUGGAGGAAAAGAAACUAACAAGGAUUCCCCUAGUAACUGCGAGUGAAGAGGGAAGAGCUCAAAUUUAAAAUCAGGCAGUCUUUUGCUGUCUGAGUUGUAAUCUAGAGAAGUGCUGCCCGUGCUGGACCAUGUACAAGUCUUCUGGAAUGGAGCGUCAUAGAGGGUGAGAAUCCCGUCUUUGACAUGGACUGCCAGUGCAUUUGUGGUGUGCUCUCAAAGAGUCGAGUUGUUUGGGAAUGCAGCUCUAAAUGGGUGGUAAACUCCAUCUAAAGCUAAAUAUUGGCAAGAGACCGAUAGCGAACAAGUACCGUGAGGGAAAGAUGAAAAGAACUUUGGAAAGAGAGUUAAACAGUAUGUGAAAUUGUUGAAAGGGAAACGCUUAAAGUCAGUUGUGUCGGCCAGGGAUCAACUCAGUUUUUUUUCUUUGCUGGGUGUACUUCCUGAUCUGAUGGGCCAACAUCAGUUUUGGCUGCUGGAGAAGGAUAGAGGGAAUGUGGCACCUUUUUUUGGGUGUGUUUAUAGCUCUCUGUCAGAUGCAGUGGCUAGGACUGAGGAAGGCAGCAUGCCAUAAAGGCCAGGU